GAUGAACGCUGGCGGCGUGCCUAAUACAUGCAAGUCGAGCGAACGGACGAGAAUCUUUCUUCUCUGAUGUUAGCGGCGGACGGGUGAGUAACACGUGGAUAACCUACCUAUAAGACUGGGAUAACUUCGGGAAACCUGAUCUAAUACCGGUUGAUAUUUUGAACCGCAUGGUUCUAAAGUGAACGACGGUCUUGCUGUCACUUAUAGAUGGAUCCGCGCUGCAUUAGCUAGUUGGUAAGGUAACGGCUUACCAAGGCAACGAUGCAUAGCCGACCUGAGAGGAUGAUCGGCCACACUGGAACUGAGACACGGUCCAGACUCCUACGGGAGGCAGCAGUAGGGAAUAUUGCACAAUGGGCGAAAGCCUGACGGAGCAACGCCGCGUGAGUGAUGAAGGUCUUCGGAUCGUAAAACUCUGUUAGUAGGGAAGAACAUAAGUGUAAGUAACUGUGCACAUCUUGACGGUACCUAAUCAGAAAGCCACGGCUAACUACGUG
Molecule: ribosomal RNA, 497 nt
Filed under: uncultured bacterium
Lineage: Bacteria
Description: partial 16S ribosomal RNA
Rfam family: Bacterial small subunit ribosomal RNA
Source: RNAcentral